GUCCACGCCCUAAACGAUGUCUACUAGCCGUUGGGCCUUUGAGGCUUUAGUGGCGCAGCUAACGCGAUAAGUAGACCGCCUGGGGAGUACGGUCGCAAGACUAAACUCAAAUGAAUUGACGGGGCCCGCACAAGCGGUGGAGCAUGUGGUUUAAUUCGAUGCAACGCGAAGAACCUUACCUGGUCUUGACAUAGUAAGAACUUUCCAGAGAUGGAUUGGUGCCUUCGGGAACUUACAUACAGGUGCUGCAUGGCUGUCGU
Molecule: ribosomal RNA, 260 nt
Filed under: uncultured bacterium
Lineage: Bacteria
Description: partial 16S ribosomal RNA
Rfam family: Bacterial small subunit ribosomal RNA
Source: RNAcentral